The sequence is a transfer RNA, 74 nucleotides long. It matches the Rfam family "tRNA". From Rfam's summary of the family: Transfer RNA (tRNA) molecules are approximately 80 nucleotides in length. Their secondary structure includes four short double-helical elements and three loops (D, anti-codon, and T loops). The record is from Rfam.
GGCCCCGUAGCUCAGUUGGUUAGAGCGCCGCCCUGUCACGGCGGAGGUCGCCGGUUCAAGUCCGGUCGGGGUCG